GCCGAUGUAGUUCAGUUGUAGACCAUCAGCCUGCACACUGAAGGGUCAUGGGUUUGAUUCCCAGUCAAGGGCA
Non-coding RNA from Myotis davidii, 73 nucleotides. The record is from Rfam. Lineage: Eukaryota; Metazoa; Chordata; Mammalia; Chiroptera; Vespertilionidae.